CUACAGUGAUUCUGUAAUGAUGAAGACCUUUAUGGGAUGGGUAGACCAGAGCUGAUUAAAUUAUUCUCCCAUUGAUGAGGAACUUUACCUUAUCCCUCAGAGUAAGGAGAAUGUCAUAUAAUGAUGAAGAUCUUGACUGUUACCCAUGUGGCAAGGAGAGUGUAGAACAGGGAAAGAUACUGAUCUCUGUUCUUGGUUAAGUUCCAAGAACCAUCUAAGUUUCGUGCCCCUCAGCUGUAAAAGGGAAGUACAUUUCAUUUGUUUAUUCUGUAAAACUCUCGGUGUGUGCCAUGGCUCAUCCUGCCCAGAGCUUGUGAAGGUGCAGUGG
This 328-nucleotide long non-coding RNA is filed under the name Homo sapiens (human). Its description in RNAcentral is "HSALNT0216043". Lineage: Eukaryota; Metazoa; Chordata; Mammalia; Primates; Hominidae. The record is from RNAcentral.